This is a non-coding RNA of Sus scrofa (pig), 3185 nucleotides long. The record is from RefSeq and is a predicted model, not a curated record. Lineage: Eukaryota; Metazoa; Chordata; Mammalia; Artiodactyla; Suidae.
AGAAUCAGGGCCCUAUAAAAACCUUCGAGCAGGACUCUGGCUGGGCUGCUGGAUGGACUAGCUGCUUUAUGGACCUGCAGCCUGGUGGACCGCCUGCCUGAUGGACCUGCUGGCUGCUACUGUACCUCCUCUAGGACUCUCGGGGACCACAUCUCUACCCACCCAGUCCCAGACCAAAGCACACCUCCAGCGAGGAGCUGAGUGAUCUGUGUAAAGCCAGUGACUCACGCCCUUGGGCUGUGGACAAUGGGAAACACUGAGGUCCUGAAAGCUUGAGGCAAAGGAGUCAGAGAAGAACCUGGAAGAUCCUCAACAAACUCCCCCCCCCCCAGCUCACAGGGAUUUGAUGACAUAACUACAUAGAUGUUCAUGACAGCUCCUAUGUCAGGCUCCUGAUCAAUCUUCUUGAUGGAGAAAGACACUAAACAAGAAUCAAAUAUCUUUCUUUCUCUGUUCUAGUUUAACUCUGUACCACCUGGAGUUUCCAGUGACUUUUGGCUCCAAAUGUGGUUAUAAGCCCUGUUGUUGCCUUGAUUUGUUUUUCUAUUAUUUGGAUGGAGUUCUUUCCCCCCAGUUUAUCCUCAUUAGGACCCUUAUCCUCCAAACUACAGGUUUAUUUCAAGCCUUUGUUUUUCUCAUUUGGGCUCUGUCUUUCCUUCCAUCCCCUACCUGGGUCCCUAGUAAACCUUAAUUGACAUUUUAGAAGCCUCUUCUUUUCUUCCUUGAUGUCAGUUGUUUUUGUGGGUCACAAUCAGGGCACCAGAUGUGGGACCAUAUCCAUCCUUGCUCAGAAAGUUCUCAUCUCUGCCUUCCUGAAAUCCAGGAUGCUUUAUUCAGCACACACCCAUUGGGUGCCAGAGUGCCAGGGAGCCACAGCAGGGAUUAGACAGGAAGCCAGCCUUCAGAGGAUGCUACCAGGAGCACAGUAUGUGCUGAUGAAUUGUGAUGCAGAUUAUUUAAAACUUCAUUGUGUCUAAAGGAAUUGCUCUAAGAUAAUGCUGGACUUUCCUGGCAGACAUUGGAGUCUCCUAGGAGGUGGAGGGGAAGGAAAAUGGAUUGUCUGGCCCACUUCCCCCAUCCCACUCCCAACCAGAUUGUACUGCUGUGGAGAUAGUGUUUGAAAGGAAAGAGUUUUCCAUUUCUACUUCUCAGGCAACCUCAGGGCACAAAAGAAGGGUAAUUGGUAGGAACAUGAUUGUUCCUUUUCAGCUAGGGCUUAGAAAACAGAGUCAUUAAAAGCUCUCUGAGCUUGGGAGAAAGUGUGUGCGCGCUUGUGUGCACACACGUGUCCCACAUGUGGGGAAGCUGCAUGUGAGAAUGAGGACAGAAAGUGCGUGUGCCCUUGUGAAGCAGCGGUGUGGAGGGUGGAGCAGGAAUGUGGAGAGGGUUUGGGGCCCUUUCCCCCACUAGCAUCAAAAUUGCAGUAACUGCAGAUUAAGUGCUGCUGACCCCGGGAGACAAGCGGCUCUGUUUCCAAGGGAACCACAUGGCUCAAUCAAGGGCCCUGAAAGAGAGGGUAAGCCAGGAUGGAGCAGCCCUUCAACCCUCCAGAGCAGCAGUAUGUACAGCGUAACCCUCAACCUUGCUUUAGCCUACUGAGGGUCCCUGAGCAGGGUCCUCCUGGUCCCUUAGCAGGCCCCUGAUCCUAGGAGAGGUGGGCAAGUAGCUAAGGCACUACUUGGCUAUCCACCACCCUCUUCCUGGCCCCCAUGAUCUCUGAAUGACGUUGGGAUAGUCCUUUUGCUUCUCUGGGUGUGGCUUCCCCAUCAGCACAAUGAAAGCAUUGGACAAAGUCUUUAUUGAUCCCCCCAGCUCUAUGACUUUCUCUGGAGGCCAUUCCCCUCCCUGCCAUCACAUCCAGACCCCCUGGCUCAAAGUGCAAGUAGAAUGGAAAACCCAGGGAAGCCAUUCUUCUUGUUGAUCUGCCCCUACCUAAUAGCUCCAGCUGUGUCAUCUCUGUAGCAACUGAUGCUUCUUCAUCUUUAGGGAGUGAGGGAGGGAGUUCAGAAGGCCUAUGGUGUUUUUCUUAGCAGCUUCACACAGGGGCAGAAAUGGGAGUUGGAUGUCAGGAGGGGGUCUGAGCUGAGGAGAAGGUGUGAAGGACCCCCACAGCCCUUCAGUGAGGCCACCAGAAAGUCAGGGGCUGAGACCCACCCCUGUCCAGGGCAUCCUGGCCCAUGGGUCAGUUCAACCUUCACAGAACCCAGCAUAAGGCAGCCCAGACUCCCGUGAUGAGAUCAGAAAGACAUGGCAGUGCCAUGGGGCAGAAAGAACCCUUGCAGUCAGGCCAGCUGGUUUCACUUUCCACCUCUUCCAGGUCAGUGAUUCUCAACUCUGGCUGCCCAUUAGAACCACUAAGAGAGCUUUUAAAAAUGCCCAGGUCUGCCCCCAGGACAUCCCUGGAUGGGAUCCAUGCUUCAAUAUUUAAAAUGUUCCCCCAUGGACUUCUGUUUCUAGCCAUAAAGAAGUAAUAGGAACUGAAUUUACCUUUCUAUUUUAAACAACUAGAAAUCUGGACAGGGUGUAGGAUAGGAUGGUUUUCUGACAAUGUUGAACAACAGGCAGGGCAAGACUGUAAUUGCUUAGAGAGAUGAAACAAACGAAAGGAGCCCUACACUUUCAUCAACUUACCAUUCUGGAUUGAGGAAAUAUAUUGAAGUUUGGAGAGACCAAGGUGGCUAGAAUUUGUGGGGAAGAGGACUGGAGAGGUGAGAGCUGCAAAGAGAGCGAAAGCUCCAGAGCAUGCCGGGGGUCCUCUUUGGGCUCUGGCUAAGAACUCAGUACAUGUGAAAGGAAACCACCAGGAAAAGAAUCACUAGAGAGCAACAGCCCAAACAAUUCCAGAGCUCAAACAGGGCUAGGAAUUGUCUUUGUUCACCCCGGCCAGUGUGGGACACAGAGGUGUGUCCUAAAUAGUAGGGCUAAAUUAUCUCUAGAAUAAAGGGUGCUCUGGAAUCACCCUAAAAAACAUAAAAUAAUAAGCCUCGAAAAGAUCCAGCUUCUUUCAGGUAACUCAUGUUCCAGAACAAAACCUAAGAAUAUUUAUGGGAAUGUUUAAAUAUCCAGUACCCAACAAGGUACCAUUCACAAUGUCUGACAUCCAACCCCAAAUUACCAUUGUGGAGUUCCCAUUGUGGCUCAGUGGGUUAAGAAUCCAAUGGAGUCUCUGGGAGGAUGCGAGUUGG